CCUGGUCCCCCGCCAACAAGCUGCUUCAACACCUUUCCAGGGACAGAGUCUUCAGGCACCUCUCCUGUUCUCCAGGACCUUUCAAAGAUGAUACAGAGUGGUUUGGCGAUCACCUCCGCUAACUCCCUCAUCACAUGUGGAUGCAUCCCAUUGGGGCCCAUGGAUUUGUGUGUGUUGAUCAUACUCAGAUGCUCCCAAACCACUCCCUCAUCAACCGGGGGGGGAGAUUUCCAUUUCCCAGACUCUUUCUCCUCCCUCCAGGGUCCAG
Long non-coding RNA from Oxyura jamaicensis (ruddy duck), 268 nucleotides. RefSeq lists it as uncharacterized. Lineage: Eukaryota; Metazoa; Chordata; Aves; Anseriformes; Anatidae. The transcript is spliced from 4 exons. The record is from RefSeq and is a predicted model, not a curated record.